This 326-nucleotide ribosomal RNA is filed under the name uncultured eukaryote. RNAcentral describes it as "partial 18S ribosomal RNA". It matches the Rfam family "Eukaryotic small subunit ribosomal RNA", at positions 1470 to 1796 of the family's 1831-position model. The record is from RNAcentral.
CCCUUAGAUGUUCUGGGCCGCACGCGCGCUACACUGAUGAAUUCAACGAGCACUAACCUGUGCCGAAAGGUUCGGGUAAUCUUUUGAAAUUUCAUCGUGAUGGGGAUUGAUUAUUGCAAUUUUUAAUCAUAAACGAGGAAUGCCUAGUAAGCGUGAGUCAUCAGCUCACGUUGAUUACGUCCCUGCUCUUUGUACACACCGCCCGUCGCUCCUACCGAUUGAAUGUGCCAGUGAAAAGUUAGGAUUGGGCGUGGGAGACGGCAACGUAUUCCACAUCCGAGAAAAUCUUUAAACUUUCCCAUUUAGAGGAAGGAGAAGUCGUAACA